This 969-nucleotide long non-coding RNA is filed under the name Penaeus japonicus. RNAcentral describes it as "uncharacterized LOC122254425". Lineage: Eukaryota; Metazoa; Arthropoda; Malacostraca; Decapoda; Penaeidae. The record is from RNAcentral.
CAUAUAUAUAUAUAUAUAUAUAUAUAUAUAUAUAUAUAUAUAUAUAUAUAUAUAUAUAUAUAUAUAUGGAGUAUCUGUGUGAUUAAUAUUAAGUAUCCCUUGGUUUAGACUAAACCCAAUUAAAUUGUACGAAAGUUAUGUAAGGGUGUAUAAUAAGAAUUAUUUUAAGAAAAAAACAUAGAAUUGUAAUCUACUGAGGUUACCCAUAAAACAGAAAACGUGCUGUCAUAAAAUGUUUAAAACGCACACCAGUAGCGGUAUAUUUGAAAGCCAAUAACUAAUUAAAGAAAGGUGAUAUCAUGAAUUACAUGGUUCUGGAUAAGAUAUUUUAGAGUAUCGAUAACAUUACGAAAAUUAGAGAAGAGAACCAACGUUUUGUGUAAAAAUGGUGACGUGUCAUGAAUGACGUCACACAAAGGGACCCUUGUGGUCAAGUGAGUGACCUGGUUACGCCUGGAGCAAGGUGACAUUAGGCGAGCCGAUGGGAACACGAGCAGGAGAUUAUGUCUGUCCUAGCUGAGGUAAGAGUAGUUUAUUUCAUUUAGUGACUGUGUAAUAUAUAGAGAGAGGGAUAAUGAUGAUAAAUGCCACAAAGAAAUACAUAUAUAAUAGGGAGACUUAUUCUGGUAAAUCUUGCCUCAGACGCCAUCUUCCUCGCCAUAAGGGUGAAUUCCCCUCAUUCCGAGUUUACCAAAUUAAACUCGUUAUAAGAGCGGGUUCAAAGGCUGAGUUUGAAGACUGAGUUUGAAGACUGAGUUCUAAGGCUGACUUCAAAGACCGGAACUCCAGACCGGAUGUUCAGGUCAUGAUUGUUCAAGACGUCACGACCGACUCUCAACGAAGAAGAAAGAAGAGUGAAGACAGAAAUCUUAUGAGUGUCAGAGUGAUUGCUAUGAAAGAUAUAUAUAAGAAGUUAUUUUUGUAUGUGUUGAGUUAUUAUGUGAUUUAAUAGACAGUAUAAGGCAUGAA